RNAcentral lists this ribosomal RNA (460 nucleotides) under uncultured bacterium. RNAcentral describes it as "partial 16S ribosomal RNA". It matches the Rfam family "Bacterial small subunit ribosomal RNA", at positions 338 to 795 of the family's 1533-position model. The record is from RNAcentral.
CCUACGGGUGGCAGCAGUGAGGAAUAUUGGUCAAUGGGCUUACGCCUGAACCAGCCAAGUCGCGUGAGGGAAGACUGCCCUAUGGGUUGUAAACCUCUUUUGUCAGGGAGCAACGCCGGCUACGUGUAGCCGGACUGAGAGUACCUGACGACAAAGCAUCGGCUAACUCCGUUCCAGCAGCCGCGGUAAUACGGAGGAUGCGAGCGUUAUCCGGAUUUAUUGGGUUUAAAGGGUGCGUAGGCGGAAUGCCAAGUCAGCGGUAAAAUCGCGGGGCUCAACCUCGCUCCGCCGUUGAAACUGGCGGUCUUGAGUGGGCGAGAAGUAGGCGGAAGGCGUGGUGUAGCGGUGAAAUGCAUAGAGAUCACGCAGAACUCCGAUUGCGAAGGCAGCAUACCGGCGCCCAACUGACGCUGAAGCACGAAAGCGUGGGUAUCGAACAGGAUUAGAUACCCCUGUAGUC